CCCGGGGGCCCGCCCACGCCCACCCCGCCGCUCGACUUCCCGUAUAUCUGUAACAUGACUGUGAAGACGGCAUUGAGGAGGAGAGGAAUCGGAAAACAACUUCUUAAGGCAUGUGAGGAUUUGGUCAUCAAAAUGGAUGCAAAAAAGACGUGUAUAUCUUCAUUGUCGAAUUAUCGAUCAAGUGCCAUUCAACAUGUGCAGGAAAGCUGGAUAUAACAUUGUCGAGACUGACAAUAUUUUGGUUUGGCUGAGCCUUCAAAAGCGGAAGUAUUUGAUGAGCAAGGAAUUACCCCAAGCUUCUGUUGUUGAGUCUUCAACCAAAGACUUCGAUGAUAAUAUUUUGACACGCUAAACGUUCAACAGGAUCAACAGGUACACAUGAGGUUGAAUUUUGUGUAUAAAUGUAUGGUUCUGUUCGUCACAUAUUUUCACAACUGCCGUUCAUUAAUUGGCUAUCACAAAAUUAUUUAGUUAAAAAUGAGUUGACAAUGCUUGUAACAAUGUUGAUUCAAUAAUAUGGCACUUACGCUCACUAA
Long non-coding RNA from Panicum virgatum (switchgrass), 536 nucleotides. RefSeq lists it as uncharacterized. The record is from RefSeq and is a predicted model, not a curated record. The transcript has 2 exons. Lineage: Eukaryota; Viridiplantae; Streptophyta; Magnoliopsida; Poales; Poaceae.